GACGAACGCUGGCGGCGUGCUUAACACAUGCCAGUCGAGCGGAAAGGCCACUUCGGUGGUACUCGAGCGGCGAACGGGUGAGUAACACGUGAGUAAUCUGCCCCUCACUUUGGGAUAGCCACCGGAAACGGUGAUUAAUACCGGAUAUGACCAUAUGUCGCAUGGCGUGUGGUGGAAAGUUUUUCGGUGAGGGAUGUGCUCGCGGCCUAUCAGCUUGAUGGUGAGGUAAUGGCUCACCAUGGCUUCGACGGGUAGCCGGCCUGAGAGGGUGACCGGUCACACUGGGACUGAGACACGGCCCAGUCUCCUACGGGAGGCAGCAGUGGGGAAUAUUGGACAAUGGGCGGAAGCCUGAUCCAGCAACGCCGCGUGAGGGAUGACGGCCUUCGGGUUGUAAACCUCUUUCAGUACCGACGAAGCGCAAGUGACGGUAGGUACAGAAGAAGCACCGGCCAACUACGUG
This 463-nucleotide ribosomal RNA is filed under the name uncultured bacterium. Its description in RNAcentral is "partial 16S ribosomal RNA". It matches the Rfam family "Bacterial small subunit ribosomal RNA", at positions 28 to 507 of the family's 1533-position model. The record is from RNAcentral.